Molecule: ribosomal RNA, 324 nt
Filed under: Triticum aestivum (bread wheat)
Lineage: Eukaryota; Viridiplantae; Streptophyta; Magnoliopsida; Poales; Poaceae
Description: partial small subunit ribosomal RNA
Source: RNAcentral
AUGAAAAUGAUAUGUUGGAACUGCCGAGGUUUGGGUCAACCUUGGACAGUUCAAGAACUUGUGUGCCUUUCAAAGACACACCGGCCUAACAUUAUCUUUCUUUCUGAAAUAAGAAAAAAAUAAAGAGUAGUUGAGAGUUUGCAUUACCGCUUGGGUAUGAAAAAUAUUUUUACUGUUUCUAUGCCAGGCAAAGGAGGUGGAUUAGCGGUCUAUUGGGAUGAUCUCUACACUCUGGAGUCAAACAAAUAUGGGGAAAAUUUUAUUGACAUGUACAUCUCUAAUGAUGCUUGCACUAAGUGGAGAUGCACUUUUAUCUAUGGGUAA